UGGCCGUGUUUGUGCUCGGAAAAGAGUGGCAGUUCAAGGACUGGCCCUUCAAGGGCCAUGUCGACAUCUUCAACAAAGUUAUUGGGUUCUUUGUAUGCUUUGAAGAUGAUAGUGUCGAUUCAGCAAAAGUGGUCAAACAGUGGAAUGUCAAAAUCAUAUCUAUAAGCAAGAAUAAAAGGCAUCAAGACAGACCGGCUGCUCUGGAGGUGUGGGAUCAGCUAGAUGAAUU
Long non-coding RNA from Triticum dicoccoides, 229 nucleotides. RefSeq lists it as uncharacterized. The record is from RefSeq and is a predicted model, not a curated record. NCBI's taxonomy places the organism in Eukaryota, Viridiplantae, Streptophyta, Magnoliopsida, Poales, Poaceae. The transcript is spliced from 3 exons.